RNAcentral lists this ribosomal RNA (207 nucleotides) under uncultured bacterium. RNAcentral's name for it is "partial 16S ribosomal RNA". It matches the Rfam family "Bacterial small subunit ribosomal RNA", at positions 568 to 774 of the family's 1533-position model. The record is from RNAcentral.
CACGUAGGCGGACUGGAAAGUUGGAGGUGAAAUCCCAGGGCUCAACCUUGGAACUGCCUUCAAAACUAUCAGUCUGGAGUUCGAGAGAGGUGAGUGGAAUUCCGAGUGUAGAGGUGAAAUUCGUAGAUAUUCGGAGGAACACCAGUGGCGAAGGCGGCUCACUGGCUCGAUACUGACGCUGAGGUGCGAAAGCGUGGGGAGCAAACA